This 253-nucleotide ribosomal RNA is filed under the name uncultured bacterium. RNAcentral describes it as "partial 16S ribosomal RNA". It matches the Rfam family "Bacterial small subunit ribosomal RNA", at positions 524 to 776 of the family's 1533-position model. The record is from RNAcentral.
UACAGAGGGGGCAAGCGUUGUUCGGAAUUACUGGGCGUAAAGGGCGCGUAGGUGGCCUUCUAAGUUGAACGUGAAAUCCCCGGGCUCAACCUGGGAACUGCAUCUGUGACUGCAUUGCUGGAGUACGGUAGAGGGGGAUGGAAUUCCGCGUGUAGCAGUGAAAUGCGUAGAUAUGCGGAGGAACACCGAUGGCGAAGGCAAUCCCCUGGACCUGUACUGACGCUCAUGCACGAAAGCGUGGGGAGCAAACAGG